UGGGGAAUUUUGCACAAUGGGGGAAACCCUGAUGCAGCGACGCCGCGUGAUUUAGAAGGCCUUCGGGUUGUAAAAAUCUUUUCUAUGGGAAGAAAAUGACAGUACCAUAGGAAUAAGGACCGGCUAAUUACGUGCCAGCAGCCGCGGUAAUACGUAAGGUCCGAGCGUUGUCCGGAAUCAUUGGGCGUAAAGGGUACGUAGGCGGGUAAGCAAGUUAGAAGUGAAAUCCUAUAGCUCAACUAUAGUAAGCUUUUAAAACUGCUCAUCUUGAGGUAUGGAAGGGAAAGUGGAAUUCCUAUUGUAGCGGUGAAAUGCGCAGAUAUUAGGAGGAAUACCGGUGGCGAAGGCGACUUUCUGGCCAUAACCUGACGCUGAGGUACGAAAGCGUGGGUAGCAAACAGG
RNAcentral lists this ribosomal RNA (402 nucleotides) under bacterium. Its description in RNAcentral is "partial 16S ribosomal RNA". It matches the Rfam family "Bacterial small subunit ribosomal RNA", at positions 355 to 776 of the family's 1533-position model. The record is from RNAcentral.